AGUUGCUGCUGGACAUGCUAGAAAUUGAGGUUCUGUUUGUGCAUGGUGUUUAUUGCAGAGAAUGGAGGUAGGGUGGUGUAUCUCGUAGAUAUUCAAAAAUUGUGUCCUAUUACGGGCUCACAACUCCGCCAUAUAAAGUGGAUGCUCUGGAACCUUAUAUGAGCAGGAGAACAGUUGCACUUCAUUGGGGUAAACACCAUCGGGAUUAUGUGGAGGGCUUAAAUAAGCAGCUUGCUAGCAGCCCCCUGUAUGGAUACACUCUGGAGGACCUGAUAAAAGAAGCACACAACAAUCGCAAUCCAUUACCAGAAUAUAAUAAUGCAGCACAGGUCUGGAAUGAACCAUCACUUCUUCUGGGAAUCAAUGCAACCAGAAGGUGGCGGCUUACCAUCAGAUUGAAAAGGAUUUUGGCCCGUUUACUAAUUUCAGGGAAGACUUUAUUUCCUAAGCCUUACAACUAUUGGGGUCUGGUUGGGUUUGGCUUGUCUUGAGGAGAAAUGAGAGAAAGCUUUCAGUAGUUCAUACACGAAAUGCCAUCUCCCCUCUUGCUUUUGGCGAUAUUCCAAUUGCCAGCCUAGACUUAUGGGAGGUAAGGACAUUGACUCCAAGUUUUUAGAUCCUACUUUGUGCCAUAUACUGACAUUUGUCCUUUUCUGUUCACCUCUCUUUUUUGUGUACUUGUUCAGCAAAUUAGUUCUAAAAAAUUUAGCAGAAAACAUCUGUGGUGCUUCCUUUGCAACUUUGCAGGAUGAUAAGCUAAUAUAUAUUACAAAGUUUAUGGACCAUCUCAUCUCUUGGGACACUGUCACUCUGCGCAUGAUGCGUGCUGAGUCUUUU
Molecule: long non-coding RNA, 837 nt
Organism: Panicum virgatum (switchgrass)
Lineage: Eukaryota; Viridiplantae; Streptophyta; Magnoliopsida; Poales; Poaceae
Exons: 5
Source: RefSeq, a predicted model, not a curated record